UACAGAGGUCCCAAGCGUUGUUCGGAUUCAUUGGGCGUAAAGGGUGUGUAGGUGGCGCCGUAAGUCGGGUGUGAAAUCUCGGGGCUUAACUCCGAAACUGCAUUCGAUACUGCGGUGCUUGAGGACUGGAGAGGAGACUGGAAUUCAUGGUGUAGCGGUGAAAUGCGUAGAUAUCGUAAGGAAGACCAGUGGCGAAGGCGGGUCUCUGGACAGUUCCUGACGCUGAGGCACGAAGGUCAGGGGAGCAAACGGG
Molecule: ribosomal RNA, 253 nt
Filed under: uncultured bacterium
Lineage: Bacteria
Description: partial 16S ribosomal RNA
Rfam family: Bacterial small subunit ribosomal RNA
Source: RNAcentral